UGCAGUCGAGCGGUAAGGCCUUUCGGGGUACACGAGCGGCGAACGGGUGAGUAACACGUGGGUGAUCUGCCCUGCACUUCGGGAUAAGCCUGGGAAACUGGGUCUAAUACCGGAUAUGACCUCCUGUUGCAUGACUUGGGGUGGAAAGAUUUAUCGGUGCAGGAUGGGCCCGCGGCCUAUCAGCUUGUUGGUGGGGUAAUGGCCUACCAAGGCGACGACGGGUAGCCGACCUGAGAGGGUGACCGGCCACACUGGGACUGAGACACGGCCCAGACUCCUACGGGAGGCAGCAGUGGGGAAUAUUGCACAAUGGGCGAAAGCCUGAUGCAGCGACGCCGCGUGAGGGAUGACGGCCUUCGGGUUGUAAACCUCUUUCAGCAGGGACGAAGCGCAAGUGACGGUACCUGCAGAAGAAGCACCGGCUAACUACGUGCCAGCAGCCGCGGUAAUACGUAGGGUGCAAGCGUUGUCCGGAAUUACUGGGCGUAAAGAGUUCGUAGGCGGUUUGUCGCGUCGUUUGUGAAAACCAGCAGCUCAACUGCUGGCUUGCAGGCGAUACGGGCAGACUUGAGUACUGCAGGGGAGACUGGAAUUCCUGGUGUAGCGGUGAAAUGCGCAGAUAUCAGGAGGAACACCGGUGGCGAAGGCGGGUCUCUGGGCAGUAACUGACGCUGAGGAACG
This 681-nucleotide ribosomal RNA is filed under the name bacterium SCSIO13169. RNAcentral describes it as "bacterial SSU rRNA". It matches the Rfam family "Bacterial small subunit ribosomal RNA", at positions 56 to 755 of the family's 1533-position model. The record is from RNAcentral.